AAACUGGAGAGUUUGAUCCUGGCUCAGAACAAACGCUAGCGGCGUGCCUAACACAUGCAAGUCAGACGAGAAAGUUCGCUUCGGCGAAUGAGUAGAGUGGCGCACGGGUGAGUAACGCGUGGACAAUCUGCCCUAGAGUUAGGAAUAACCCACCGAAAGGUGGGCUAAUACCCAAUAAUGCUAUACUUCUUCGGGAGUAUAGCCAAAGAUGGCCUCUGUUUACAAGCUAUCGCUCAAGGAUGAGUUCGCGUACCAUUAGCUUGUUGGUGGGGUAAAGGCCUACCAAGGCGACGAUGGUUAGCUGGUCUGAGAGGACGACCAGCCACACUGGAACUGAGACACGGUCCAGACUCCUACGGGAGGCAGCAGUGAGGAAUCUUGCGCAAUGGGGGAAACCCUGACGCAG
This 406-nucleotide ribosomal RNA is filed under the name Deltaproteobacteria bacterium. Its description in RNAcentral is "bacterial SSU rRNA". It matches the Rfam family "Bacterial small subunit ribosomal RNA", at positions 1 to 391 of the family's 1533-position model. Lineage: Bacteria; Pseudomonadati; Myxococcota; Myxococcia. The record is from RNAcentral.